GGAAUCUCGUACUCCCAGAUGGUUUAGAUGAUUUUGUCAUAUACUGUACGACUGAUUUUUCUACUGUCUGGAAAGAGGUUAAUCUGAGAACCCGUAGGGUUAAGUUGAUUGGCCUUGAGGGCUCUGGUAAAACCUCUCUUUUAAAAGCAAUUCUGGAUCGAGGCCGAAGGGCCCACACUGAGAGUAUUGAAAAUCUAAAUGCAGAUGAUGAUGUUCAAGAGGGAAUUGCUGGUGGCUUGUGUUACUCUGAUUCAACUGGAGUUAAUCUGCAGAAUCUGAACAUGGAGGCAACACAUUUCAGGGAUGAUCUGUGGAAAGGAAUUCGUGAUCUUUGUAAGAAAACCGAUUUGAUUAUACUUGUCCAUAACCUAUCUCAUAAAAUUCCUCGCUACAACGACUCAAAUGCCUUGCAACCACAACCUGCCAUGUGCCUUCUCCUUAAUGAGGCAAAAUCUCUUGGAAUACCUUGGAUACUUGCAAUUACAAACAAGUUUUCUGUCAGUGCUCACCAGCAAAAGGUAGCUAUUAAUGCGGUUGUGAAGGCAUAUCAAGCAUCUCCUAGCACAACUGAGGUUGUCAAUUCAUGUCCUUAUGUUACAUCUAGUGCUGCUGGUGCUUCUCAAUCUUGGUAUACAGAAGGGAAAGAUCCAGAGUGGAUGUUUGGUGCCCAAAAGCUAAUUUUUGCUCCACUUGAACUAGUCCGGAGGCCUUUCCAGAAGAAAACAGCUGUUCUCCCCAUUGAUGGGGUAUCUGCUUUGUGUGAGCUUGUCCACCGUGUACUUAGGAGCCAGGAAGAAGCUGCUUUACUGGAGUUCGCCAGAGAUAGGCUUUUUGUGGAAUUGGCUCGGGAGAGAGCAGUGGAAAUUCAAGAUGCUCAGACAAAGGUCAAUCCUCUGAAUGCUGCGGCUGUUGGUGCUUCACUUGGUGCUGGUUUGGGCCUUGUGUUAGCUGUUGUCAUGGGUGCAGCUUCUGCUUUGAGGAAGCCAUAAAAUCUUCUGGACUAUAUAGGGUGUAUAGAAGGUUUAGUUGCCUUAAUCUGUCGUGGAUAUGUAGCCAUUCUUUUAAUCUUAUAACUACUCAAUAUUUAAUGAUGGUUGAUUUUCAGUAGAUUCUUUGUUUAUAUUUGUUAGGCUGUUGGAGCAAAUCUAGUAGUAUAGACGUGGGCUCAUAAAACUGUUAGCCAAG
RNAcentral lists this unclassified non-coding RNA (1185 nucleotides) under Hevea brasiliensis (rubber tree). Lineage: Eukaryota; Viridiplantae; Streptophyta; Magnoliopsida; Malpighiales; Euphorbiaceae. The record is from RNAcentral.